GAUGAACGCUGGCGGCGUGCCUAAUACAUGCAAGUCGAGCGAACAGACGAGGAGCUUGCUCCUCUGACGUUAGCGGCGGACGGGUGAGUAACACGUGGAUAACCUACCUAUAAGACUGGGAUAACUUCGGGAAACCGGAGCUAAUACCGGAUAAUAUAUUGAACCGCAUGGUUCAAUAGUGAAAGACGGUUUUGCUGUCACUUAUAGAUGGAUCCGCGCUGCAUUAGCUAGUUGGUAAGGUAACGGCUUACCAAGGCAACGAUGCGUAGCCGACCUGAGAGGGUGAUAGGCCACACUGGAACUGAGCCACGGUCCAGACUCCUACGGGAGGCAGCAGUAGGGAAUCUUCCGCAAUGGGCGAAAGCCUGACGGAGCAACGCCGCGUGAGUGAUGAAGGUCUUCGGAUCGUAAAACUCUGUUAUUAGGGAAGAACAAAUGUGUAAGUAACUAUGCACGUCUUGACGGUACCUAAUCAGAAAGCCACGGCUAACUACGUG
Molecule: ribosomal RNA, 497 nt
Filed under: uncultured bacterium
Lineage: Bacteria
Description: partial 16S ribosomal RNA
Rfam family: Bacterial small subunit ribosomal RNA
Source: RNAcentral